UCUCAUUUGGGCAUUGUUUCUUGAUUGGGGUUUGUUGCGGCGAUAUGUAGCUGCGGAUGAUGGUGGGGUGGUGAAAAGGGAAGGGUUUGAGAUUAUAAUUGGCGGUGGCUAUAGUCCACCUCCUGAGUAUGAAGAAGGCUGUCCACCUCCCCCUCCUGAGCCUGAAUGCCCCCCACCUCCACCUCCAUCUCCACCUCCACCUCCACCUCCAUCUCCACCUCCACCUCCAUCUCCACCUCCACCUCCACCUCCAUCUCCACCUCCACCUCCAUCUCCACCUCCACCUCCACCUCCAUCUCCACCUCCACCCCCUCCUCCACCCCCUCCUCCUCCUCCUCCUCCACCUCCUCCUCCUCCUCCGCCUCCGCCUCCUCCUCCUCCACCAGUCGAUCGCAAUGCGAGACUUAAAAUUGCUCUAAAAGCAAUCAGGAUAUUCCAAGCCAAAAUCACGGUAGAUCCUUUUAAUAUCGCCAAGGGAUGGAAGGGCAACAAUCCUUGCAAAUUCAAGGGCUUCGUCUGCAGUACUGUCCCGGACAAGAAC
RNAcentral lists this long non-coding RNA (541 nucleotides) under Vitis vinifera (wine grape). RNAcentral's name for it is "long non-coding RNA (VVIN_LNC000659)". Lineage: Eukaryota; Viridiplantae; Streptophyta; Magnoliopsida; Vitales; Vitaceae. The record is from RNAcentral.